Molecule: ribosomal RNA, 418 nt
Filed under: uncultured bacterium
Lineage: Bacteria
Description: bacterial SSU rRNA
Rfam family: Bacterial small subunit ribosomal RNA
Source: RNAcentral
UGGGGAAUAUUGGACAAUGGGCGGAAGCCUGAUCCAGCAACGCCGCGUGAGGGAUGACGGCCUUCGGGUUGUAAACCUCUUUCAGUACCGACGAAGCGCCGAUGAUGGUGGUGACGGUAGGUACAGAAGAAGCACCGGCCAACUACGUGCCAGCAGCCGCGGUAAUACGUAGGGUGCGAGCGUUGUCCGGAAUUAUUGGGCGUAAAGGGCUCGUAGGCGGUUUGUCGCGUCGGGAGUGAAAACACUGGGCUUAACUCAGUGCUUGCUUUCGAUACGGGCAGACUAGAGGCAUGCAGGGGAGAACGGAAUUCCUGGUGUAGCGGUGAAAUGCGCAGAUAUCAGGAGGAACACCGGUGGCGAAGGCGGUUCUCUGGGCAUGUCCUGACGCUGAGGAGCGAAAGUGUGGGGAGCGAACAGG